AUUGAACGCUGGCGGCAUGCCUUACACAUGCAAGUCGAACGGCAGCACGGGUGCUUGCACCUGGUGGCGAGUGGCGAACGGGGGAGUAAUACAUCGGAACAUGUCCUGUAGUGGGGGAUAGCCCGGCGAAAGCCGGAUUAAUACCGCAUACGAUCUACGGAUGAAAGCGGGGGACCGUCGGGCCUCGCGCGAUAGGGUUGGCCGAUGGCUGAUUAGCUAGUUGGGGGGGUAAAGGCCUACCAAGGCGACGAUCAGUAGCUGGUCUGAGAGGACGACCAGCCACACUGGGACUGAGCCACGGCCCAGACUCCUACGGGAGGCAGCAGUGGGGAAUUUUGGACAAUGGGCGAAAGCCUGAUCCAGCAAUGCCGCGUGUGUGAAGAAGGCCUUCGGGUUGUAAAGAACUUUUGUCCGGAAAGAAAUCCUUGGCCCUAAUACGGUCGGGGGAUGACGGUACCGGAAGAAUAAGCACCGGCUAACUACGUG
This 486-nucleotide ribosomal RNA is filed under the name uncultured bacterium. RNAcentral describes it as "partial 16S ribosomal RNA". It matches the Rfam family "Bacterial small subunit ribosomal RNA", at positions 29 to 507 of the family's 1533-position model. The record is from RNAcentral.